This is a long non-coding RNA of Drosophila gunungcola (fruit fly), 824 nucleotides long. RefSeq lists it as uncharacterized. The transcript has 3 exons. NCBI's taxonomy places the organism in Eukaryota, Metazoa, Arthropoda, Insecta, Diptera, Drosophilidae. The record is from RefSeq and is a predicted model, not a curated record.
GAAAUCAUCAAAAUUGUAUUCUUGUUAAUAAAAAGGCGAUGAAAAUCAAUAAAAUAUAAUUCCUUAAUUAACUAUUCUAAAGAUAUGCAUUUUGGUUUUUAAUAUUUUGUUUUACUUAAUAUCGUUUUGCACAUAAGAUAAUAAUCAGAGGUGACCUAGAAACGUCUGACAAUUGUCAGAAUAGGGUUUGUUUACUUCAAGUCUAAUAGAUUCUUGUAAUACUAAAAGUGUUUUGUUAUUUGCUAUCUUUCUGGUUAAGUCGGUUUUACCAAACUUUUCAAGUCGACUUUGGCAUAACUACUGAAUCGUCAAAAAAUGGAUGGUGCAUUGGGAUUUUAAAGCUCUUAGAAAAUUAGUUUGGGUUUUUUAACUAAUAGACGGUUGCAAAAAAAAAUUAACUGACAUUUCAUGGUAUAUGAUGGAAGAACCCAAAAUUGUCACUGUUGAAUUUUCAUUUCUUUGUUAUUUAAAACUAUCAAACUAACUUACAGAAAAAUAAAUUAAAUUAUAUUCCCUAGUAUUUUAAAGAGCGAUAAAACAACGUAGACGUAAUUGCUGAAGUAAAAAAAAAUUGAGUAGUAUUGUCUUCAAGAUUUCUUCACUAUGCCUAUAAAUCGAAACUAAAGAUAUCAACCCAUUUAGCAAUGGUAAACCAACUUCCUACAGAAUAAACUAGAUGCCAGUUAGAUCUGCGGUGAUUGAUAUUCAUAGCCAGAAUGGAACCCAAUGUAUCACCUCCAGAGCCUUAAUGAUGGACGCGUUGUAGUCCACAGUCUUUCGCAUCACACUCUUGCGCAGCCGCUUGCCGUCGAAGUCGUCCUGGG